UACGGAGGGUGCAAGCGUUGUUCGGAAUUACUGGGCGUAAAGAGCGUGUAGGCGGCUGAUCCAGUCGGGUGUGAAAGCCCGGGGCUUACCCCCGGAAGUGCGCUCGAAACUGGUCAGCUAGAGUAUGGGAGAGGGAAGUGGAAUUCCUGGUGUAGCGGUGAAAUGCGUAGAUAUCAGGAGGAACACCGGCGGCGAAGGCGGCUUCCUGGACCAAUACUGACGCUGAGACGCGAAAGCGUGGGGAGCAAACAGG
RNAcentral lists this ribosomal RNA (253 nucleotides) under uncultured bacterium. RNAcentral's name for it is "partial 16S ribosomal RNA". It matches the Rfam family "Bacterial small subunit ribosomal RNA", at positions 524 to 776 of the family's 1533-position model. The record is from RNAcentral.